RNAcentral lists this ribosomal RNA (465 nucleotides) under Vreelandella stevensii. RNAcentral describes it as "partial 16S ribosomal RNA". It matches the Rfam family "Bacterial small subunit ribosomal RNA", at positions 338 to 795 of the family's 1533-position model. Lineage: Bacteria; Pseudomonadati; Pseudomonadota; Gammaproteobacteria; Oceanospirillales; Halomonadaceae. The record is from RNAcentral.
CCUACGGGAGGCUGCAGUGGGGAAUAUUGGACAAUGGGGGGAACCCUGAUCCAGCCAUGCCGCGUGUGUGAAGAAGGCCCUCGGGUUGUAAAGCACUUUCAGUGAGGAAGAACGCCUGGUGGUUAAUACCCAUCAGGAAAGACAGCACUCACAGAAGAAGCACCGGCUAACUCCGUGCCAGCAGCCGCGGUAAUACGGAGGGUGCGAGCGUUAAUCGGAAUUACUGGGCGUAAAGCGCGCGUAGGUGGCUUGAUAAGCCGGUUGUGAAAGCCCCGGGCUCAACCUGGGAACGGCAUCCGGAACUGUCAAGCUAGAGUGCAGGAGAGGAAGGUAGAAUUCCCGGUGUAGCGGUGAAAUGCGUAGAGAUCGGGAGGAAUACCAGUGGCGAAGGCGGCCUUCUGGACUGACACUGACACUGAGGUGCGAAAGCGUGGGUAGCAAACAGGAUUAGAUACCCUAGUAGUC